This 91-nucleotide ribosomal RNA is filed under the name Actinomycetota bacterium. Lineage: Bacteria; Bacillati; Actinomycetota. The record is from RNAcentral.
ACCCGGUCCCAUUCCGAACCCGGAAGUUAAGCCUCUCAGCGUCGAUGGUACUGCACGGGUCACCUUGUGGGAGAGUAGAACGCCGCCGGAC